AAGGACAUGGAGACAAUUACAAUGCCAAUCCACAAUUAAUUAGAGCUAUUUUGGAUACCCAGUUGAAUGCACCUUUAUUUAACCUAUCAGGAGAAGAAAAGUUAAGAAGAUCGCCACAAAUUUCUGGCAUCCUGAACCCAACCACAUGUAUAAAUGUUAAUGACGUUAUUAUGUUUAUUGCUUCAAAACACAAUUUCCCCAUGUACGAUGUGAACAAUUUAUACAACUCAAACCCUCAUUUUGACUGGGGGAAAUUUCGAGAAAUCGCAGAGAAGUUAUUGCUCUCCUCGAAGCCUUUUCUUUAUUUCAUGUAUCAGUUCCAGGAGCCAGGAGUCUAUGUCAUAAAGCUAAGCAGCAACCAUUAUAAA
Molecule: long non-coding RNA, 368 nt
Organism: Xenopus laevis (African clawed frog)
Lineage: Eukaryota; Metazoa; Chordata; Amphibia; Anura; Pipidae
Exons: 3
Source: RefSeq, a predicted model, not a curated record